RNAcentral lists this ribosomal RNA (440 nucleotides) under uncultured bacterium. Its description in RNAcentral is "partial 16S ribosomal RNA". It matches the Rfam family "Bacterial small subunit ribosomal RNA", at positions 338 to 795 of the family's 1533-position model. The record is from RNAcentral.
CCUACGGGAGGCAGCAGUGGGGAAUAUUGCACAAUGGAGGGAACCCUGAUGCAGCGACGCCGCGUGCGUGAAGAAGUAUUUCGGUAUGUUAAGCUCCAUCUGUAGGGAAGUAGAUGACGGUACCUAACUAAGAAGCACCGUCUAACUACGUGCCAGCAGGCGCGGUAAUACGUAGGGGGCAAGCGUUAUCCGGAUGUACUGGGUGUUAAGGGAGCGUAGACGGUAUGACAAGUCUGAAGUGAAAGCCCAGGGCUUAACCCUGGGACUGCUUUGGAAACUGUCAGACUAGAGUGCUGGCGCGGUAGGUGGAAUGCCUAGUGUAGCGGUGAAAUGCGUAGAUAUUAGGAAGAACACCAGUGGCGAAGGCAGCUUACUAGACAGUGACUGACGUUGAGGCUCGAAAGCGUGGGGAGCAAACAGGAUUAGAUACCCGGGUAGUC